RNAcentral lists this transfer RNA (67 nucleotides) under Clibanarius infraspinatus. RNAcentral describes it as "tRNA-Thr". It matches the Rfam family "tRNA". From Rfam's summary of the family: Transfer RNA (tRNA) molecules are approximately 80 nucleotides in length. Their secondary structure includes four short double-helical elements and three loops (D, anti-codon, and T loops). Lineage: Eukaryota; Metazoa; Arthropoda; Malacostraca; Decapoda; Diogenidae. The record is from RNAcentral.
GUUUUAAUAGUUUAGUAUUAAAAACUUUGGUCUUGUAAACCAAAAACGGAUAAAUUUCCUUAAAACA